UGGGGAAUAUUGCACAAUGGGCGCAAGCCUGAUGCAGCAACGCCGCGUGAGGGAUGACGGCCUUCGGGUUGUAAACCUCUUUUAGUCAGGAAGAAGCCUUCGGGUGACGGUACUGGCAGAAAAAGCACCGGCUAACUACGUGCCAGCAGCCGCGGUAAUACGUAGGGUGCAAGCGUUGUCCGGAAUUAUUGGGCGUAAAGAGCUCGUAGGCGGCUUGUCGCGUCUGCUGUGAAAUCCUGAGGCUUAACCUUGGGCGUGCAGUGGGUACGGGCAAGCUAGAGUGCGGUAGGGGAGAUUGGAAUUCCUGGUGUAGCGGUGGAAUGCGCAGAUAUCAGGAGGAACACCGAUGGCGAAGGCAGAUCUCUGGGCCGUAACUGACGCUGAGGAGCGAAAGCAUGGGGAGCGAACAGG
RNAcentral lists this ribosomal RNA (411 nucleotides) under uncultured prokaryote. RNAcentral describes it as "bacterial SSU rRNA". It matches the Rfam family "Bacterial small subunit ribosomal RNA", at positions 355 to 776 of the family's 1533-position model. RNAcentral also lists the same sequence under 1 other name. The record is from RNAcentral.